GGCCUACCAUGGUGGUAACGGGUAACGGGGUGUUAGGGCACGACACCGGAGAGGGAGCCUGAGAAACGGCUACCACAUCCAAGGAUGGCAGCAGGCGCGCAAAUUACCCAAUCCCGACACGGGGAGGUAGUGACAAUAAAUAACAAUACGGGGUUCUUUCGGAUCUCGUAAUUGGAAUGAGUACAAUUUAAAUCUCUUAACGAGGAACAAUUGGAGGGCAAGUCUGGUGCCAGCAGCCGCGGUAAUUCCAGCUCCAAUAGCGUAUAUUAAAGUUGUUGCAGUUAAAAAGCUCGUAGUUGAAUUUCGGGAUCAGAUUGUCGGUCGUGCCUCGGUACGCACUGGCAUUAUUGGUUCCUACCUUCUGAAGAACCGCGAUGUCAUUAAUUUGGUGUCGUGGGGAAUCAGGACUGUUACUUUGAAAAAAUUAGAGUGUUUAAAGCAGGCGCACGCUUGAAUACAUUAGCAUGGAAUAAUGAAAUAGGACGUUUGAUUCUAUUUUGUUGGUUUCUAGGAUCGACGUAAUGAUUAAUAGGGAUAGUUGGGGGCAUUAGUAUUCAAUUGUCAGAGGUGAAAUCCUUGGAUUUAUUGAAGACUAACUACUGCGAAAGCAUUUGCCAAGGAUGUUUUCAUUAAUCAAGAACGAAAGUUAGGGGAUCGAAGACGAUCAGAUACCGUCGUAGUCUUAACCAUAAACUAUGCCGACUAGGGAUCGGAUGAUGUUGAUUUUUUAAUGACUCAUUCGGCGCCUUACG
This 752-nucleotide ribosomal RNA is filed under the name uncultured Glomeromycotina. RNAcentral describes it as "SSU rRNA". It matches the Rfam family "Eukaryotic small subunit ribosomal RNA", at positions 338 to 1092 of the family's 1831-position model. The record is from RNAcentral. Lineage: Eukaryota; Fungi; Glomeromycota.